CUAAUAGGCAUGUAAAGGUAAAUAAUUGGGGUUUUAAUCUACAUUUUCUUAAUGAUUAAUGAUGUUGAGCAUCUGUUCCUGUGCUUAUAUGCCAUCCAUGUAUCUUCCGUGAAGUGUCUAUUCAAACCUUUUCCCACUUUUUAAAUUGGGUUAUUUUUUUUAUUGUUAUUACUGAGUUGUGAGCAUACCUGCAUGAGUGUGUGUGCAGCGAGUUUUACUGUAUGUAAAAUAUAAUAUAUAGGUAUAGGUUUUGUGUUUAUUUUCUCCUAGUCUCUAACUUUUAUUUGCUUAAAUAUGUCUUUUGUAGAGGAGAAUUUUUUAAAAUGUUGAAAUCAAACUCUCUCUUUUUUUUUUUUUUUGCCUUGAUGCAGUUGCUAUAAACCACCUACAAUGUUGAAUAGAAGUGGUGAAAGUGGAUAUCCUUGACUUUUCCCUGAUACUAGGGGAGAACCUUCAUUCUUUUACCAUUAAGCAUGCUGUGAGAGGUGUUUUGAGAGGUUUGGGGAUUCGACUGGAGAUGUAAAAGAAACUUUCCACUCCAAACAAAUGGACUGAAGAGAUUAAAGUUAAGCAUUUGCGUGUUAAUCUACCAGGUUAUUCAACUUAAAUAAUAGGUAAUAAUCAGAAAAAUGGGGAAAGAAAUUGUCUUCUUCCAAGUAACUUUGCCUUUUAACUUUUAAUAUUGCUUUUUUUUAUCCCCUUAGCUGCUAAUCUGCCAUGCCAAUGGCUAUCAACAAAAUUAGAACCCUGCAUAUAACCCCAAAGUUGUAUACUAAAAUACAUUAUUUUAUGAUUAUAUCACAGGGCAAUGUGUUCAAAUCUAGAAAAGAAGAGAAAAAAUUAUAUUAUCAUGACCUCAAGUAAAGCCAAAUAACUCUGAGGACGCUGGGGGUACCAACGAAUGACAGGUGGUGGAGGUCUAUCUUUAUGGCCUUUCGCUAACUUGGACCUGAGAAUAAGCCCUAAUUGAUCUCUUACUUCCAUUUUUUCCAGUUGUGAUAGAAGAUUAGAUGUUUUGAAAUAAACAAUAAAUGGUAGAACUUCAACCAAGUACCACAUAAAGCACAUGAUGCUGGUAAAUCUCUGUGCGAUAGUCACGUUCAUUACUAUGUAGAAUUAUCGAUUGUAUGUAAACAAUAAAUCACCUAGUUAAGAAUAAUUUCACUGUACCAUAUUGGGAGUAUGUUGAAAAAAGACUUUUGUUUUGUAUAAAGUUGACCUAGUUGUAGACCGGUGUUGCUGAUUGAGUGGUCUCUAUAAAUCAGUGAAUAUUUUUCCUCUACCAUGGCCUGUGGAACGCACUCUAGGUUAAAACCUUCAGUGGCUUGUCACUGACUGCAGCAUAGAGCCCAAGAUACGUGGUUAGAUAGUCAAGACUGUUAUCUGCCUUUUUAAUGAUCAGCUUUUGUUAUUCCUCGCAUGAAUCUUUAAUUCUAACCAAAUGAUGUCUUCAUAAAUCCCUCUACACUCAUCACGUUUUAUCUCUAACUUUCCCUUCCUUCUAAAUUUUUUCAAGUAUCAAUCUCUUAGCACA
This is a long non-coding RNA of Diceros bicornis minor, 1534 nucleotides long. RefSeq lists it as uncharacterized. The record is from RefSeq and is a predicted model, not a curated record. The transcript is spliced from 3 exons. NCBI's taxonomy places the organism in Eukaryota, Metazoa, Chordata, Mammalia, Perissodactyla, Rhinocerotidae.